GGGCUCCCUUCCCAGCACAUAGACUCAAAUUAGAAUGAUACCGAGAAGAUUAGCAUGGCCACUGCACAAGAACGGCAAGCAAAUUUGUGACACAGUCCAUAUUUGU
Tupaia belangeri (northern tree shrew) is the source of this 106-nucleotide small nuclear RNA. The record is from Ensembl. NCBI's taxonomy places the organism in Eukaryota, Metazoa, Chordata, Mammalia, Scandentia, Tupaiidae.